RNAcentral lists this ribosomal RNA (470 nucleotides) under uncultured bacterium. RNAcentral describes it as "partial 16S ribosomal RNA". It matches the Rfam family "Bacterial small subunit ribosomal RNA", at positions 28 to 507 of the family's 1533-position model. The record is from RNAcentral.
GACGAACGCUGGCGGCGUGCUUAACACAUGCAAGUCGAACGAGAUCCAAUGUGUAGCAAUACACAGGAAGAUCUAGUGGCGAACGGGUGAGGAACACGUGAGAAACGUACCACAGACUUUGGGAUAACAGUCCGAAAGGACUGCUAAUACCAAAUAACGUCGGAAGUCCGCAUGGACAUCUGACGAAAGGGAUUCCGGUUUGGGAGCGUCUCGCGGACCUAUCAGCUAGUUGGAGGGGUAACGGCCCACCAAGGCAACGACGGGUAGCUGGUCUGAGAGGAUGGUCAGCCACACUGGGACUGAGACACGGCCCAGACUCCUACGGGAGGCAGCAGUGGGGAAUCUUGCGCAAUGGGCGAAAGCCUGACGCAGCAACGCCGCGUGCGGGAAGAAGGCUUUCGGGCUGUAAACCGCUUUCAGUAGGAACGAAACUGACGGUACCUACAGAAGAAGGAGCGGCCAACUAUGUG